UUUGCAACUUUAUCCAUUUCACU
RNAcentral lists this microRNA (23 nucleotides) under Strongyloides ratti. Its description in RNAcentral is "str-miR-7880n-3p". The record is from miRBase by way of RNAcentral. Lineage: Eukaryota; Metazoa; Nematoda; Chromadorea; Rhabditida; Strongyloididae.